UUCCCGGUCCUUGUACACACCGCCCGUCACACCACGAAAGUCGGCAACACCCGAAGCCGGUGGCCUAACCCUUGUGGAAGGAGCCGUCGAAGGUGGGGUCGGUGAUUGGGGUG
RNAcentral lists this ribosomal RNA (113 nucleotides) under uncultured bacterium. Its description in RNAcentral is "partial 16S ribosomal RNA". It matches the Rfam family "Bacterial small subunit ribosomal RNA", at positions 1371 to 1482 of the family's 1533-position model. The record is from RNAcentral.